Molecule: ribosomal RNA, 459 nt
Filed under: uncultured bacterium
Lineage: Bacteria
Description: partial 16S ribosomal RNA
Rfam family: Bacterial small subunit ribosomal RNA
Source: RNAcentral
CCUACGGGUGACAGCAGUGAGGAAUAUUGGUCAAUGGUCGGGAGACUGAACCAGCCAAGCCGCGUGAGGGAGGAAGGUACAGAGUAUCGUAAACCUCUUUUGUCAGAGAACAAAGGCGGGGACGUGUCCCCGGCUGCGUGUACCUGAAGAAAAAGCAUCGGCUAACUCCGUGCCAGCAGCCGCGGUAAUACGGAGGAUGCGAGCGUUAUCCGGAUUUAUUGGGUUUAAAGGGUGCGAAGGCGGUCUGUUAAGUCAGCGGUCAAAGUGCGGGGCUCAACCCCGUCCCGCCGUUGAAACUGGCAGUCUUGAGUUGGAGAGAAGUAUGCGGAAUGCGCGGUGUAGCGGUGAAAUGCAUAGAUAUCGCGCAGAACUCCGAUUGCGAAGGCAGCAUGCCGGCUCCACACUGACGCUGAGGCACGAAAGCGUGGGGAUCGAACAGGAUUAGAUACCCCAGUAGUC